GGGCCCGUAGCUUAGCCAGGCAGAGCGGCGGGCUUUUAACCCGUAGGUCCCGGGUUCAAAUCCCGGCGGGCCCGCCA
RNAcentral lists this transfer RNA (77 nucleotides) under Desulfurococcales archaeon. RNAcentral describes it as "tRNA-Lys". It matches the Rfam family "tRNA". Rfam says of the family: Transfer RNA (tRNA) molecules are approximately 80 nucleotides in length. The record is from RNAcentral. Lineage: Archaea; Thermoproteati; Thermoproteota; Thermoprotei; Desulfurococcales.